This 1449-nucleotide ribosomal RNA is filed under the name uncultured organism. RNAcentral's name for it is "SSU rRNA". It matches the Rfam family "Bacterial small subunit ribosomal RNA". The record is from RNAcentral.
AGCUACAGGCUUAACACAUGCAAGUCGAGGGGCAGCAUUUUAGUUUGCUUGCAAACUGAAGAUGGCGACCGGCGCACGGGUGAGUAACACGUAUCCAACCUGCCGAUAACUCCGGAAUAGCCUUUCGAAAGAAAGAUUAAUACCGGAUAGCAUACGAAUAUCGCAUGAUAUUUUUAUUAAAGAAUUUCGGUUAUCGAUGGGGAUGCGUUCCAUUAGUUUGUUGGCGGGGUAACGGCCCACCAAGACAACGAUGGAUAGGGGUUCUGAGAGGAAGGUCCCCCACAUUGGAACUGAGACACGGUCCAAACUCCUACGGGAGGCAGCAGUGAGGAAUAUUGGUCAAUGGGCGAGAGCCUGAACCAGCCAAGUAGCGUGAAGGAUGAAGGCUCUAUGGGUCGUAAACUUCUUUUAUAUGGGAAUAAAGUUUUCCACGUGUGGAAUUUUGUAUGUACCAUAUGAAUAAGGAUCGGCUAACUCCGUGCCAGCAGCCGCGGUAAUACGGAGGAUCCGAGCGUUAUCCGGAUUUAUUGGGUUUAAAGGGAGCGUAGGUGGAUUGUUAAGUCAGUUGUGAAAGUUUGCGGCUCAACCGUAAAAUUGCAGUUGAAACUGGCAGUCUUGAGUACAGUAGAGGUGGGCGGAAUUCGUGGUGUAGCGGUGAAAUGCUUAGAUAUCACGAAGAACUCCGAUUGCGAAGGCAGCUCACUAGACUGUCACUGACACUGAUGCUCGAAAGUGUGGGUAUCAAACAGGAUUAGAUACCCUGGUAGUCCACACAGUAAACGAUGAAUACUCGCUGUUUGCGAUAUACAGUAAGCGGCCAAGCGAAAGCAUUAAGUAUUCCACCUGGGGAGUACGCCGGCAACGGUGAAACUCAAAGGAAUUGACGGGGGCCCGCACAAGCGGAGGAACAUGUGGUUUAAUUCGAUGAUACGCGAGGAACCUUACCCGGGCUUAAAUUGCAACAGAAUAUAUUGGAAACAGUAUAGCCGUAAGGCUGUUGUGAAGGUGCUGCAUGGUUGUCGUCAGCUCGUGCCGUGAGGUGUCGGCUUAAGUGCCAUAACGAGCGCAACCCUUAUCUUUAGUUACUAACAGGUGAUGCUGAGGACUCUAGAGAGACUGCCGUCGUAAGAUGUGAGGAAGGUGGGGAUGACGUCAAAUCAGCACGGCCCUUACGUCCGGGGCUACACACGUGUUACAAUGGGGGGUACAGAAGGCGGCUACCUGGUGACAGGAUGCUAAUCCCAAAAACCUCUCUCAGUUCGGAUCGAAGUCUGCAACCCGACUUCGUGAAGCUGGAUUCGCUAGUAAUCGCGCAUCAGCCAUGGCGCGGUGAAUACGUUCCCGGGCCUUGUACACACCGCCCGUCAAGCCAUGAAAGCCGGGGGUACCUGAAGUACGUAACCGCAAGGAGCGUCCUAGGGUAAAACUGGUAAUUGGGGCUAAGUCGUA